GUGUCAGCAGCCGCGGUAAUACAGAGGAGCCAAGCGUUGUCCGGAUUGACUGGGCGUAAAGCGCACGCAGGCGGAUGCGCGCGUGGGGUGUGAAAUCUGGCCGCUUAACGGCCAGGCGCCAUCCCAUACGGCGCGUCUGGAGCCUUGCAGAGGUCGGUGGAAUUGCCGGUGUAGUGGUGAAAUGCGUAGAGAUCGGCAGGAACACCCAGGGGGAAACCAGCCGACUGGGCAAGUGCUGACGCUGAGGUGCGAGAGCGUGGGGAGCGAACCGGAUUAGAUACCCGAGUAGUCC
This 292-nucleotide ribosomal RNA is filed under the name uncultured bacterium. Its description in RNAcentral is "partial 16S ribosomal RNA". It matches the Rfam family "Bacterial small subunit ribosomal RNA", at positions 505 to 796 of the family's 1533-position model. The record is from RNAcentral.